GGUUUCCGUAGGUGAACCUGCGGAAGGAUCAUUACA
This 36-nucleotide ribosomal RNA is filed under the name Transversotrema tragorum. RNAcentral's name for it is "partial 18S ribosomal RNA". The record is from RNAcentral. Lineage: Eukaryota; Metazoa; Platyhelminthes; Trematoda; Azygiida; Transversotrematidae.